GCUGGCAGGCAAACGUGUCAUAUCCUGGUGUUCUCCAAGUGGGUAGUAUAGAUCAAAUGGACUUUGAUUCACUUCAGGUCUCUCUUACGCUGCCUGUUUUUUUUAGCCACUUCUCUAUAUGUCCUCAGUGAGCCUCACACGUUUGGUUAAAAAAGGAUUCGGGGAACCUUGAGCCACUUCUAAUUGUGUUCGCCUCACUAACAACACCUCUGCCUCCAGCUUCCCUCGCACCAUGGCAGUAUACUCUUGUGUUUUUAAGGACCACAGCUUCAAAUGAUGAAUCCUAAAGAUGACUAAAGAGGGGCCAAAGCCACAUGUCACAGGGAAUGUGAUUGGGUGGUGGAUCUGUGGCCGCUCCCAAAUUAAGAUGGCUUCUCGUUAUCACAAAAUGUUUGCCUGAUGAGGUCCUGAAAUGGUGAAUAAGUGUGCGGGAGCUGUUUUUGCAGUUUUUGAUCAACUCGUCCCUCUCCUGCGCACCUGCUCCGCCAAAUGUGCAAAGCUUUCUUUAGUUUUUCACAGAAACGUGAAGUCACUGUGACCUUGACCUUUGACCUUCAGGCACCAAAAAGUAAUCAGUUCAUCUUUGAGUCCAAGUGAACGUUUGUACCAAAUUUUAAAGACAUUCCCUUAAGCUAAUUUUAGGAUAUCAUGUUCAAGAAAAAUAUAAGAAAAUCUUGACCUUUGACCCCCAGAAUCGAAUCAGUUCAUUCUUGAUUCCAUGUGAAUAUUUGUAACAAAUUUAAGGGAAAUUCCCUCAAGGUAUUCUUGAGAUAUCACGUUCCCGGGAAUGGGACGGACGGACAACCUGAAAAAAUGAUGUCUCCGUUUUCGGCGCGGAGGCAUAAAAAGGAGAUAAGAAGAAUGAUCAUCUGAACAUAGGUUUAGUAAUAGUAUUACAUUCUAUUGCGUGUUCCUCCCAUGAUGCAUUUGUAUCCGUGUGAAGGUGUUGUUUAUCCUGGGAUAACUCACGGAGGAAAAAAAUAAAGAUCUCCAUCAAAACUGAAGCAGCAGUUCAGAUGAAGUGUUUUGUGUAUGUUCAAAUACAAACAAAAAAAAGCUGUCACAGUUAUUAUUUUGGUCAAUUCGCAUCGGGGCAUCGUUUUUUCCAUCAAUAAAAUAACAAAUAAAAAGGCUUAUUGGCAACUUACACUCGAAUUAAGUGAUAAAGUAACAAGUAUUCAGCUUUUGAGGCCAAAACAACAAAAACUGUUUUAAAUUAAUUACAUUUUUGUUCAUUGUACACAUACCUGUACUCUAGAGUCCAAUUUCCAUUUUUUUGGGUAAUGUCUUUCUCAUAUUAUGUGUUAUCAUCUUUGUGGUGAGCUCCAUUUACCACAUACUUCCUUCAAAGUCAUAACCACAUGAAUAUUUGUGCUUUUAUCUCAUUUUGAUCCAAGGAUAAAAAUGAAGAAAAGAUGUUUCAGUCAAAUGUGCAGCAACAGAUAAAAAACUGGGAAAAUUAAAAUUGAGAGAAUAAAGUACAUACAGUAUGAAGAAUUGAAACAUAUUGUAUUUAUGUAUAUAUGCAUAAUACUUUUUGGAACCAAAUUAAAUAUUUGGAAGCCCUGUUAAAAAGUAAAUUAUAUUGUAUAUCCUUGUGGUUGCAACAACUAGUAGCUUAUGCUGCCAUUACAUCACUUCUCAUGAUGCAAGAUAGAAACUGCUUUCAGGAGUAUUUACGUCACUGAACAGCUGCAAUGAGCUAAACUUCUGUUUUUGAGCAUCAAGUAAAACUUCAGGCACAACAGAGAAAGCCCGAUAUCUUUCCUGUUUCUCUGUAUUUCAGAUGGUGCUCCACUGUGAUGGGAGAUUUUUAAGGCUGUAGUGAUGUUGUCAGCCAUUUUCCUUGAGUGCUUUCAGCGUAAUGGUCAGUCCUCCAGCAUCACAGAGCUGAAACUCGUCCACUCCAUCAUCAUGUGGCUGCUGAUGAGCCAAAGCCGGGGCUGGGUCUGCUUCAUCCCCAUGAUCUUCCCUCUCCUCAUCUUCCUCAAAGUCAUCUGGAUAGUCAGCUUGUUCUGAAAUUUCAGGAACCUCCUGAAAGGCUGAGAGAGAAAGAACCUGCUGAGUGAUUGCCACUGUUGUACCAGAAUAAAAGAUACCAAGACUGAA
Molecule: long non-coding RNA, 2109 nt
Organism: Hippoglossus stenolepis (Pacific halibut)
Lineage: Eukaryota; Metazoa; Chordata; Actinopteri; Pleuronectiformes; Pleuronectidae
Exons: 3
Source: RefSeq, a predicted model, not a curated record